Molecule: non-coding RNA, 73 nt
Organism: Phrynosoma platyrhinos (Desert horned lizard)
Lineage: Eukaryota; Metazoa; Chordata; Lepidosauria; Squamata; Phrynosomatidae
Source: the annotation of a GenBank genome assembly
GCCAGUGUAGUGUAGAGGUUUGAGGAUUGGACUAUGAUUCUGGGAGACCAGGGUUCGAAUCCCUGUUCAGUCA